UUUUUUUUUUUUUUUUUUUUUUUUUUGAGACAGAGUCUCGCUCUGUCACCCAGGCUGGAGUGCAGUGGCGCGAUCUCGGCUCACUGCAAGCUCCGCCUCCCGGGUUCACGCCAUUCUCCUGCCUCAGCCUCUCCGAGUAGCUGGGACUACAGGCGCCCGCCACCACGCCCGGCUAAUUUUUUGUAUUUUUAGUAGAGACGGGGUUUCACUGUGGUCUCGAUCUCCUGACCUCGUGAUCCGCCCGCCUCGGCCUCCCAAAGUGCUGGGAUUACAAGCGUGAGCCACCGCGCCCGGCGGCGCUAAGUCUUAAGGCCCUCUCCACACUCAGUGUCUGUGAUCCUGUGAAAUUAUUAGAAUCGCUCAGCAUUUCUUGGCUUCCCCUGCCUCCAGAGACAUCCUUCCCAUGCUGCUCCCCACCCACACGCAUCCUGGAGCCCCGGUGCAGAGAGAAGGCUCCAAAAUAAAGAUCAGUCCAGGCUGCCGAGGGACACUGCUCCGUGCGACUUCCUCUUGGCAAUCUGAAUGUCCUGCCGUGUUGGACUCUAGGGUCUUGAGGCCCCCUACGUGGGUCUCCCAUGUUACAUGCCUGGAAGCCAAGGCCUAGUGAGAAGUGACUGCUCAAAGCCACAGCACAUGUCUGUGGCAGGGCUGCACUUGAACCCAGAUGCCACAUCUGUUUAUUUCCCAAGAAACAAGCGGUCCAAUGAAUCACACCUAGGAAAACACUGCUGGGGCACAAGCCUCUCAUCCUACAGAUGAUUAGAUGAGGUCUUGGGCUCUAGAGAAUGUUCUCUGAAGGCAGAGCAGCGACCCCUAAGAAAGGUGGAUUCCAGCUCAACAUUGUUGCUCAGCAACCUGGGGCAGGUUCUUUCCCCUCCUAGGGCAGUUGAGAGGCGGAGAGCAAAGGUAAAGCCCCCACCUUAGAAAGCUGGGUGCACAGAAGGGACUCGGCUGUUCCCACUUCCUCUCCCAGGCCUGGGCCAGCGCAGGGUGGCCUGGCUCUGGUCCUGCAGCCCAGCCCUAAGGCAGCUGAGCCACUUGUACCUGGGUCGGGGAGAUGAAAGGGCUGCUCCCACCGACAGUUACCCUUCGACAGAGCUCGCCAGGCCCCAGCGUUGCCAAGACGACCGCUUCCAGCAGAACGAAGAUCCGGGGUGGGGGCAGGGGAUGUGCCAGCCCGCCCCUGGCCUACUAACCUGGCAGGCAGAUUUAAAUGACAGUCCAGGAAGCUACUAUUAAACUGUCACCCCAGUCAACAGGACGACAGACCCAGAGUGUUCUCUGGCUGCAGCAACGACACAGCAGUAAUGAGGGGGAGGAGACCAUGGCCCAGAGCAACCUGCACCCCACCCGGGGGCCCUGGCCUGACGGCUGUCCCACUACCAGAGCCACCUUCUCAGGCUGUGGCAGGUCCUGGCAUGGAGCUGGGGCUCAGCACAGGGCCUGGCAAACUACUUUUAAGCAGAGGAACCCUUUUCCCAAGUGAACCUCCAACAUAUAAAACAGAUUAAAAUGGAGCUGCACGGUUGGAAGUGGGGGUGGGGGUGACAUCCAGAGCCCAUCGCCAGCAGAUCUGGGGUCCAGCAGCAAUGGAUUCAAACCCUAACCCCUCCCUGGACAUGUGAUGUUCCUAAAGCCCUCAGUUUAAAGAUCCCGUGGGUCCAUCACAACAUUGCAAACAGCUUCCACAUGGCUCUGCUUCUGACACUCUAGGGACCUACGGUUCUAAGGCCAUAACACUCUGAUUUGCACCCUAAGCCCCUGUGACAAGACUCCAUGACAGCUACUGCCAGAGUCCGAGAUGUCGAUAAGCUGCGGAUGGCAGCCUCUGAUGCCUUCCCUGAAAGGAACUGUUUAUCUGAGUCCAGAAGUCUACAUGCCGACAGUCUCUGACUACUCAAGGCUCGGCGGUUCCCAGAAGGCGAACGGUUCCCACAGUGUCCUGACAGUAGAGUGCAGGAGCCAGCACCCGCGUGUGGUGGGCGGGACUCGGUGCGUGGCUUUGUGCUGCCCAGUGGGCUCUGGGGCUCAAGCCACCAUCAUCCAUCAGCAGGCGACAUCUAAAUUUGCCCUCUCCCCCAUCUUCCCAUCCCACCUGGGGAGACUGAGAAGCUGCAGGUGCUGAGGAGGAGGGAGACACGUGAAGGGCUCGAGCCAAAGGAUUCGCCCCAUUUGGAAUUAAGAGGCUGCAGCGGAAGGAGCACUUUUUGAAACAAGUGGUCCACCUUCGCCCCAAAACACCAAGGCAUGAAAACGAGGUUGCAAGGAUCAGGAGGCCCGAGGAAAGACGAAAUGGGAGGCAGCGGCAGGGCCCCCAGCGGUGGAAGGAGUGUCACUCACCCCUUCCCAUUCUGGGCCUCAGUUUCCUCAGGCGAACACAACACAUCUCUAAGGGCCCCCUCCAGCUGACCUUCUGGAUUUGUGACCCCGUGACACGGAGGGGUUGUGGAUCUUGGUGCUGUUCCAAGCCCUCAAAGAGGUCAUCUGGGGCUUCCCACAGCCAAGCACCUCCUCCAGGCCCCACUACAUCCCAGCUGCUCUCAGAUACUGCCGGACCCUGGCCCCACUGUCACCAAGGGAGGCCCAAGCCCUUGCUGGGGUAUGUAGGCCUGUCACCACAGGGAAUAAGAGCGUCUCCGAGGGACAGACUGACAAAGGCGUCUUCCUGUCCCAGUGAUUUGUGGUUGCAGGAGCUCCACCAGGCCGGAAGCCCCUCUUCCACCUCCAUGGGCAAAACUCUCCCACCCCUGAUGGCCAGCUCAGGCAUUAGCUGUUCAUGGUGUCUGACGAUGCCCCCAUCCAAAUGCCCCCACCUCUGACAGAGCAGAAAUGAGUGGAUCCCAGCCCAGGGCCAGCCAGGGCCCACAACACCAAAGAGACAGAGUUUCGUCAUAACUGCCCAGGUGGCCUAGGGCCAUACUACAGCACGUGAUCCAGAGUCAGGGCCUGGGAACAACCUGUAUGAUUAUAGGACACCUCCUCUGUCCCAUGUUCUGGGAAAGCCAAGCUUCUGCUGACUCCUGUGCUACCUGGAAAGUCUCAGGUCUCUGCUGCUGGAAGCCAAAAUAAUCAAGCAGCAGGCCUACUGUGCAUGAGGGACCCUGCUAGAUGCUGGCAUGCCCUGCAGUUAGCUUGAAGAGGAAGCCACUUUUAAACAGCCUGCCCAGUGAGCACUGCCGGCUGCCUGAAGAUGAUUCCACUCACCUUGGUCUUUCCUGCAAGUGAAACUUCCUCCCAGAACUAAGGUUUGGAAGAUCCCAGUCUGCUGCCUGACAUGGCCAGUCUCCCACCAAAACAGGUGAAGGAACCCAGGACUCAUAU
Long non-coding RNA from Symphalangus syndactylus (siamang), 3321 nucleotides. RefSeq lists it as uncharacterized. Lineage: Eukaryota; Metazoa; Chordata; Mammalia; Primates; Hylobatidae. The record is from RefSeq and is a predicted model, not a curated record.